This 1372-nucleotide ribosomal RNA is filed under the name uncultured bacterium. RNAcentral's name for it is "bacterial SSU rRNA". It matches the Rfam family "Bacterial small subunit ribosomal RNA", at positions 28 to 1381 of the family's 1533-position model. The record is from RNAcentral.
GAUGAACGCUGGCGGCGUGCCUAAUACAUGCAAGUCGAGCGAACGGACGAGAAGCUUGCUUCUCUGAUGUUAGCGGCGGACGGGUGAGUAACACGUGGAUAACCUACCUAUAAGACUGGGAUAACUUCGGGAAACCGUAGCUAAUACCGGAUAAUAUUUUGAACCGCAUGGUUCAAAAGUGAAAGACGGUCUUGCUGUCACUUAUAGAUGGAUCCGCGCUGCAUUAGCUAGUUGGUAAGGUAACGGCUUACCAAGGCAACGAUGCAUAGCCGACCUGAGAGGGUGAUCGGCCACACUGGAACUGAGACACGGUCCAGACUCCUACGGGAGGCAGCAGUAGGGAAUCUUCCGCAAUGGGCGAAAGCCUGACGGAGCAACGCCGCGUGAGUGAUGAAGGUCUUCGGAUCGUAAAACUCUGUUAUUAGGGAAGAACAUAUGUGUAAGUAACUGUGCACAUCUUGACGGUACCUAAUCAGAAAGCCACGGCUAACUACGUGCCAGCAGCCGCGGUAAUACGUAGGUGGCAAGCGUUAUCCGGAAUUAUUGGGCGUAAAGCGCGCGUAGGCGGUUUUUUAAGUCUGAUGUGAAAGCCCACGGCUCAACCGUGGAGGGUCAUUGGAAACUGGAAAACUUGAGUGCAGAAGAGGAAAGUGGAAUUCCAUGUGUAGCGGUGAAAUGCGCAGAGAUAUGGAGGAACACCAGUGGCGAAGGCGACUUUCUGGUCUGUAACUGACGCUGAUGUGCGAAAGCGUGGGGAUCAAACAGGAUUAGAUACCCUGGUAGCCCACGCCGUAAACGAUGAGUGCUAAGUGUUAGGGGGUUUCCGCCCCUUAGUGCUGCAGCUAACGCAUUAAGCACUCCGCCUGGGGAGUACGACCGCAAGGUUGAAACUCAAAGGAAUUGACGGGGACCCGCACAAGCGGUGGAGCAUGUGGUUUAAUUCGAAGCAACGCGAAGAACCUUACCAAAUCUUGACAUCCUUUGACAACUCUAGAGAUAGAGCCUUCCCCUUCGGGGGACAAAGUGACAGGUGGUGCAUGGUUGUCGUCAGCUCGUGUCGUGAGAUGUUGGGUUAAGUCCCGCAACGAGCGCAACCCUUAAGCUUAGUUGCCAUCAUUAAGUUGGGCACUCUAAGUUGACUGCCGGUGACAAACCGGAGGAAGGUGGGGAUGACGUCAAAUCAUCAUGCCCCUUAUGAUUUGGGCUACACACGUGCUACAAUGGACAAUACAAAGGGCAGCGAAACCGCGAGGUCAAGCAAAUCCCAUAAAGUUGUUCUCAGUUCGGAUUGUAGUCUGCAACUCGACUACAUGAAGCUGGAAUCGCUAGUAAUCGUAGAUCAGCAUGCUACGGUGAAUACGUUCCCGGGUCU